GAUGAACGCUGGCGGCGUGCCUAAUACAUGCAAGUCGAGCGAACGGACGAGAAGCUUGCUUCUCUGAUGUUAGCGGCGGACGGGUGAGUAACACGUGUAUAACCUACCUAUAAGACUGGGAUAACUUCGGGAAACCGGAGCUAAUACCGGAUGAUAUUUUGAACCGCAUGGUUCAAAAGUGAAAGACGGUCUUUCUGUCACUUAUAGAUGGAUCCGCGCUGCAUUAGCUAGUUGGUAAGGUAACGGCUUACCAAGGCAACGAUGCAUAGCCGACCUGAGAGGGUGAUCGGCCACACUGGAACGGAGACACGGACCAGACUCCUACGGGAGGCAGCAGUAGGGAAUCUUCCGCAAUGGGCGAAAGCCUGACGGAGCAACGCCGCGUGAGUGAUGAAGGUCUUCGGAUCGUAAAACUCUGUUAUUAGGGAAGAACAUAUGUGUAAGUAACUGUGCACAUCUUGACGGUACCUAAUCAGAAAGCCACGGCUAACUACGUG
Molecule: ribosomal RNA, 497 nt
Filed under: uncultured bacterium
Lineage: Bacteria
Description: partial 16S ribosomal RNA
Rfam family: Bacterial small subunit ribosomal RNA
Source: RNAcentral